GACGUUAGCUGCAGAAGAAAGCACCGGCUAACUACCGUGCCAGCAGCCGCGGUAAUACGGAGGGUGCGAGCGUAAUCGGAAUUACUGGCGUAAAGACGCAUGCAGGUGGUUUGUUAAGUUCAGAUGUGAAAGACCCGGGGCGUCAACCUCGGAAUUGCAUUUGAAACUAGGCAAACUAAGAGUACUGUAGAGGGGGGUAGGAAGUUUCAGGUGUAGCGGUGAAAUAGCGUAGAGAUCUGAAGGAAUACCGGUGGCGAAGGCGGCCCCCUCGGACAGAUACUGACACUCAGAUGCGAAAGCGUGGGGAGCAAACAGGAUUAGAUACCCUGGUAG
RNAcentral lists this ribosomal RNA (333 nucleotides) under uncultured bacterium. Its description in RNAcentral is "bacterial SSU rRNA". It matches the Rfam family "Bacterial small subunit ribosomal RNA", at positions 471 to 793 of the family's 1533-position model. The record is from RNAcentral.